This 1864-nucleotide ribosomal RNA is filed under the name Escherichia coli. RNAcentral describes it as "partial 23S ribosomal RNA". It matches the Rfam family "Bacterial large subunit ribosomal RNA", at positions 612 to 2461 of the family's 2925-position model. Lineage: Bacteria; Pseudomonadati; Pseudomonadota; Gammaproteobacteria; Enterobacterales; Enterobacteriaceae. The record is from RNAcentral.
AUAAUGGGUCAGCGACUUAUAUUCUGUAGCAAGGUUAACCGAAUAGGGGAGCCGAAGGGAAACCGAGUCUUAACUGGGCGUUAAGUUGCAGGGUAUAGACCCGAAACCCGGUGAUCUAGCCAUGGGCAGGUUGAAGGUUGGGUAACACUAACUGGAGGACCGAACCGACUAAUGUUGAAAAAUUAGCGGAUGACUUGUGGCUGGGGGUGAAAGGCCAAUCAAACCGGGAGAUAGCUGGUUCUCCCCGAAAGCUAUUUAGGUAGCGCCUCGUGAAUUCAUCUCCGGGGGUAGAGCACUGUUUCGGCAAGGGGGUCAUCCCGACUUACCAACCCGAUGCAAACUGCGAAUACCGGAGAAUGUUAUCACGGGAGACACACGGCGGGUGCUAACGUCCGUCGUGAAGAGGGAAACAACCCAGACCGCCAGCUAAGGUCCCAAAGUCAUGGUUAAGUGGGAAACGAUGUGGGAAGGCCCAGACAGCCAGGAUGUUGGCUUAGAAGCAGCCAUCAUUUAAAGAAAGCGUAAUAGCUCACUGGUCGAGUCGGCCUGCGCGGAAGAUGUAACGGGGCUAAACCAUGCACCGAAGCUGCGGCAGCGACGCUGAUGCGUUGUUGGGUAGGGGAGCGUUCUGUAAGCCUGUGAAGGUGUGCUGUGAGGCAUGCUGGAGGUAUCAGAAGUGCGAAUGCUGACAUAAGUAACGAUAAAGCGGGUGAAAAGCCCGCUCGCCGGAAGACCAAGGGUUCCUGUCCAACGUUAAUCGGGGCAGGGUGAGUCGACCCCUAAGGCGAGGCCGAAAGGCGUAGUCGAUGGGAAACAGGUUAAUAUUCCUGUACUUGGUGUUACUGCGAAGGGGGGACGGAGAAGGCUAUGUUGGCCGGGCGACGGUUGUCCCGGUUUAAGCGUGUAGGCUGGUUUUCCAGGCAAAUCCGGAAAAUCAAGGCUGAGGCGUGAUGACGAGGCACUACGGUGCUGAAGCAACAAAUGCCCUGCUUCCAGGAAAAGCCUCUAAGCAUCAGGUAACAUCAAAUCGUACCCCAAACCGACACAGGUGGUCAGGUAGAGAAUACCAAGGCGCUUGAGAGAACUCGGGUGAAGGAACUAGGCAAAAUGGUGCCGUAACUUCGGGAGAAGGCACGCUGAUAUGUAGGUGAAGUCCCUCGCGGAUGGAGCUGAAAUCAGUCGAAGAUACCAGCUGGCUGCAACUGUUUAUUAAAAACACAGCACUGUGCAAACACGAAAGUGGACGUAUACGGUGUGACGCCUGCCCGGUGCCGGAAGGUUAAUUGAUGGGGUCAGCGCAAGCGAAGCUCUUGAUCGAAGCCCCGGUAAACGGCGGCCGUAACUAUAACGGUCCUAAGGUAGCGAAAUUCCUUGUCGGGUAAGUUCCGACCUGCACGAAUGGCGUAAUGAUGGCCAGGCUGUCUCCACCCGAGACUCAGUGAAAUUGAACUCGCUGUGAAGAUGCAGUGUACCCGCGGCAAGACGGAAAGACCCCGUGAACCUUUACUAUAGCUUGACACUGAACAUUGAGCCUUGAUGUGUAGGAUAGGUGGGAGGCUUUGAAGUGUGGACGCCAGUCUGCAUGGAGCCGGCCUUGAAAUACCACCCUUUAAUGUUUGAUGUUCUAACGUUGACCCGUGAUCCGGGUUGCGGACAGUGUCUGGUGGGUAGUUUGACUGGGGCGGUCUCCUCCUAAAGAGUAACGGAGGAGCACGAAGGUUGGCUAAUCCUGGUCGGACAUCAGGAGGUUAGUGCAAUGGCAUAAGCCAGCUUGACUGCGAGCGUGACGGCGCGAGCAGGUGCGAAAGCAGGUCAUAGUGAUCCGGUGGUUCUGAAUGGAAGGGCCAUCGCUCAACGGAUAAAA